RNAcentral lists this ribosomal RNA (406 nucleotides) under uncultured bacterium. RNAcentral describes it as "bacterial SSU rRNA". It matches the Rfam family "Bacterial small subunit ribosomal RNA", at positions 354 to 777 of the family's 1533-position model. The record is from RNAcentral.
GUGGGGAAUAUUGGACAAUGGGCGCAAGCCUGAUCCAGCCAUGCCGCGUGAGUGAUGAAGGCCUUAGGGUUGUAAAGCUCUUUUGUCCGGGACGAUAAUGACGGUACCGGAAGAAUAAGCCCCGGCUAACUUCGUGCCAGCAGCCGCGGUAAUACGAAGGGGGCUAGCGUUGCUCGGAAUCACUGGGCGUAAAGGGCGCGUAGGCGGCCGAUUAAGUCGGGGGUGAAAGCCUGUGGCUCAACCACAGAAUUGCCUUCGAUACUGGUUGGCUUGAGACCGGAAGAGGACAGCGGAACUGCGAGUGUAGAGGUGAAAUUCGUAGAUAUUCGCAAGAACACCAGUGGCGAAGGCGGCUGUCUGGUCCGGUUCUGACGCUGAGGCGCGAAAGCGUGGGGAGCAAACAGGA